UACGUAGGGUGCGAGCGUUGUCCGGAAUUAUUGGGCGUAAAGGGCUCGUAGGCGGUUUGUCGCGUCGGGAGUGAAAACACCGGGCUUAACUCGGUGCUUGCUUUCGAUACGGGCAGACUAGAGGUAUGCAGGGGAGAACGGAAUUCCUGGUGUAGCGGUGAAAUGCGCAGAUAUCAGGAAGAACACCGAUGGCGAAGGCAGCUCUCUGGGACGGUACUGACGCUGAGACGCGAAAGCGUGGGGAGCGAACAGG
RNAcentral lists this ribosomal RNA (253 nucleotides) under uncultured bacterium. RNAcentral describes it as "partial 16S ribosomal RNA". It matches the Rfam family "Bacterial small subunit ribosomal RNA", at positions 524 to 776 of the family's 1533-position model. The record is from RNAcentral.